RNAcentral lists this transfer RNA (64 nucleotides) under Andrena flavipes. RNAcentral's name for it is "tRNA-Tyr". RNAcentral also lists the same sequence under 1 other name. The record is from RNAcentral. Lineage: Eukaryota; Metazoa; Arthropoda; Insecta; Hymenoptera; Andrenidae.
AGUUCUAUGCCUGAUAAAAGGAGUAAAUUGUAAAUUUAUAUAUGAAGUUGAUUUUCUAGGACUA